Molecule: ribosomal RNA, 497 nt
Filed under: uncultured bacterium
Lineage: Bacteria
Description: partial 16S ribosomal RNA
Rfam family: Bacterial small subunit ribosomal RNA
Source: RNAcentral
GAUGAACGCUGGCGGCGUGCCUAAUACAUGCAAGUCGGGCGAACAGAUGAGGAGCUUGCUCCUCUGACGUUAGCGGCGGACGGGUGAGUAACACGUGGAUAACCUACCUAUAAGACUGGGAUAACUUCGGGAAACCGGAGCUAAUACCGGAUAAUAUAUUGAACCGCAUGGUUCAAUAGUGAAAGACGGUUUUGCUGUCACUUAUAGAUGGAUCCGCGCCGCAUUAGCUAGUUGGUAAGGUAACGGCUUACCAAGGCAACGAUGCGUAGCCGACCUGAGAGGGUGAUCGGCCACACUGGAACUGAGACACGGUCCAGACUCCUACGGGAGGCAGCAGUAGGGAAUCUUCCGCAAUGGGCGAAAGCCUGACGGAGCAACGCCGCGUGAGUGAUGAAGGUCUACGGAUCGUAAAACUCUGUUAUUAGGGAAGAACAAAUGUGUAAGUAACUAUGCACGUCUUGACGGUACCUAAUCAGAAAGCCACGGCUAACUACGUG